This 253-nucleotide ribosomal RNA is filed under the name uncultured bacterium. RNAcentral's name for it is "partial 16S ribosomal RNA". It matches the Rfam family "Bacterial small subunit ribosomal RNA", at positions 524 to 776 of the family's 1533-position model. The record is from RNAcentral.
UACGGAGGGUGCGAGCGUUGUCCGGAAUCACUGGGCGUAAAGGGCGCGUAGGCGGCCUGAUAAGUAGGGGGUGAAAUCCUGCGGCUUAACCGCAGGGCUGCCUUCUAAACUGUCAGGCUCGAGCACAGUAGAGGCAGGUGGAAUUCCCGGUGUAGCGGUGGAAUGCGUAGAGAUCGGGAAGAACAUCAGUGGCGAAGGCGGGUCUCUGGGCCGAUACUGACGCUGAGGAGCGAAAGCGUGGGGAGCGAACAGG